Podarcis lilfordi (Lilford's wall lizard) is the source of this 144-nucleotide non-coding RNA. NCBI's taxonomy places the organism in Eukaryota, Metazoa, Chordata, Lepidosauria, Squamata, Lacertidae. The record is from the annotation of a GenBank genome assembly.
UCUCCCAAGCCUCCUCGGGAGGAGAGUGAUCCCUACAGAGGCUUAGGAUGGAAGCUGCACCCCUGCAAACCAUAUGGUUGGCGGGCGCGCAACUUCCCUCCCAUGCCUCUGUGGGGAUCGCUCUCCUCCCGAGGAGGCCGUGAU